RNAcentral lists this transfer RNA (75 nucleotides) under bacterium. RNAcentral's name for it is "tRNA-Arg". It matches the Rfam family "tRNA". Rfam says of the family: Transfer RNA (tRNA) molecules are approximately 80 nucleotides in length. The record is from RNAcentral.
GUCCCCGUAGUUUAAUGGAUAAAACAGGAGGCUUCUAUCCUCUCGAUCCGGGUUCGAGUCCUGGCGGGGACACAA